UACGGGGGGGGCAAGCGUUGUUCGGAAUUACUGGGCGUAAAGGGCUCGUAGGUGGCCAACUAAGUCAGACGUGAAAUCCCUCGGCUUAACCGGGGAACUGCGUCUGAUACUGGAUGGCUUGAGUUUGGGAGAGGGACGCGGAAUUCCAGGUGUAGAGGUGAAAUUCGUAGAUAUCGGGAGGAACACCGGUGGCGAAGGCGGCGACCUGGACAGUAACUGACGCUGAGACGCGAAAGCGUGGGUAGCAAACAGG
Molecule: ribosomal RNA, 253 nt
Filed under: uncultured bacterium
Lineage: Bacteria
Description: partial 16S ribosomal RNA
Rfam family: Bacterial small subunit ribosomal RNA
Source: RNAcentral